Molecule: ribosomal RNA, 2050 nt
Filed under: Staphylococcus aureus
Lineage: Bacteria; Bacillati; Bacillota; Bacilli; Caryophanales; Staphylococcaceae
Description: partial 23S ribosomal RNA
Rfam family: Bacterial large subunit ribosomal RNA
Source: RNAcentral
CGAAUCAUCUGGAAAGAUGAAUCAAAGAAGGUAAUAAUCCUGUAGUCGAAAAUGUUGUCUCUCUUGAGUGGAUCCUGAGUACGACGGAGCACGUGAAAUUCCGUCGGAAUCUGGGAGGACCAUCUCCUAAGGCUAAAUACUCUCUAGUGACCGAUAGCGAACCAGUACCGUGAGGGAAAGGUGAAAAGCACCCCGGAAGGGGAGUGAAAUAGAACCUGAAACCGUGUGCUUACAAGUAGUCAGAGCCCGUUAAUGGGUGAUAGCGUGCCUUUUGUAGAAUGAACCGGCGAGUUACGAUUUGAUGCAAGGUUAAGCAGUAAAUGUGGAGCCGUAGCGAAAGCGAGUCUGAAUAGGGCGUUUAGUAUUUGGUCGUAGACCCGAAACCAGGUGAUCUACCCUUGGUCAGGUUGAAGUUCAGGUAACACUGAAUGGAGGACCGAACCGACUUACGUUGAAAAGUGAGCGGAUGAACUGAGGGUAGCGGAGAAAUUCCAAUCGAACCUGGAGAUAGCUGGUUCUCUCCGAAAUAGCUUUAGGGCUAGCCUCAAGUGAUGAUUAUUGGAGGUAGAGCACUGUUUGGACGAGGGGCCCCUCUCGGGUUACCGAAUUCAGACAAACUCCGAAUGCCAAUUAAUUUAACUUGGGAGUCAGAACAUGGGUGAUAAGGUCCGUGUUCGAAAGGGAAACAGCCCAGACCACCAGCUAAGGUCCCAAAAUAUAUGUUAAGUGGAAAAGGAUGUGGCGUUGCCCAGACAACUAGGAUGUUGGCUUAGAAGCAGCCAUCAUUUAAAGAGUGCGUAAUAGCUCACUAGUCGAGUGACACUGCGCCGAAAAUGUACCGGGGCUAAACAUAUUACCGAAGCUGUGGAUUGUCCUUUGGACAAUGGUAGGAGAGCGUUCUAAGGGCGUUGAAGCAUGAUCGUAAGGACAUGUGGAGCGCUUAGAAGUGAGAAUGCCGGUGUGAGUAGCGAAAGACGGGUGAGAAUCCCGUCCACCGAUUGACUAAGGUUUCCAGAGGAAGGCUCGUCCGCUCUGGGUUAGUCGGGUCCUAAGCUGAGGCCGACAGGCGUAGGCGAUGGAUAACAGGUUGAUAUUCCUGUACCACCUAUAAUCGUUUUAAUCGAUGGGGGGACGCAGUAGGAUAGGCGAAGCGUGCGAUUGGAUUGCACGUCUAAGCAGUAAGGCUGAGUAUUAGGCAAAUCCGGUACUCAUUAAGGCUGAGCUGUGAUGGGGAGAAGACAUUGUGUCUUCGAGUCGUUGAUUUCACACUGCCGAGAAAAGCCUCUAGAUAGAAAAUAGGUGCCCGUACCGCAAACCGACACAGGUAGUCAAGAUGAGAAUUCUAAGGUGAGCGAGCGAACUCUCGUUAAGGAACUCGGCAAAAUGACCCCGUAACUUCGGGAGAAGGGGUGCUCUUUAGGGUUAACGCCCAGAAGAGCCGCAGUGAAUAGGCCCAAGCGACUGUUUAUCAAAAACACAGGUCUCUGCUAAACCGUAAGGUGAUGUAUAGGGGCUGACGCCUGCCCGGUGCUGGAAGGUUAAGAGGAGUGGUUAGCUUCUGCGAAGCUACGAAUCGAAGCCCCAGUAAACGGCGGCCGUAACUAUAACGGUCCUAAGGUAGCGAAAUUCCUUGUCGGGUAAGUUCCGACCCGCACGAAAGGCGUAACGAUUUGGGCACUGUCUCAACGAGAGACUCGGUGAAAUCAUAGUACCUGUGAAGAUGCAGGUUACCCGCGACAGGACGGAAAGACCCCGUGGAGCUUUACUGUAGCCUGAUAUUGAAAUUCGGCACAGCUUGUACAGGAUAGGUAGGAGCCUUUGAAACGUGAGCGCUAGCUUACGUGGAGGCGCUGGUGGGAUACUACCCUAGCUGUGUUGGCUUUCUAACCCGCACCACUUAUCGUGGUGGGAGACAGUGUCAGGCGGGCAGUUUGACUGGGGCGGUCGCCUCCUAAAAGGUAACGGAGGCGCUCAAAGGUUCCCUCAGAAUGGUUGGAAAUCAUUCAUAGAGUGUAAAGGCAUAAGGGAGCUUGACUGCGAGACCUACAAG